RNAcentral lists this ribosomal RNA (373 nucleotides) under uncultured organism. Its description in RNAcentral is "partial 16S ribosomal RNA". It matches the Rfam family "Bacterial small subunit ribosomal RNA", at positions 527 to 896 of the family's 1533-position model. The record is from RNAcentral.
GUAGGUGGCAAGCGUUGUCCGGAAUUAUUGGGCGUAAAGCGCGCGCAGGCGGUUCUUUAAGUCUGAUGUGAAAGCCCACGGCUCAACCGUGGAGGGUCAUUGGAAACUGGAGAACUUGAGUACAGAAGAGGAAAGCGGAAUUCCACGUGUAGCGGUGAAAUGCGUAGAGAUGUGGAGGAACACCAGUGGCGAAGGCGGCUUUCUGGUCUGUAACUGACGCUGAGGCGCGAAAGCGUGGGGAGCAAACAGGAUUGGAUACCCUGGUAGUCCACGCCGUAAACGAUGAGUGCUAAGUGUUAGGGGGGUUUCCGCCCCCCUUAGUGCUGCAGCUAACGCAUUAAGCACUCCGCCUGGGAGUACGGCCGCAAGGCUG